Ribosomal RNA from Danio rerio (zebrafish), 115 nucleotides. Lineage: Eukaryota; Metazoa; Chordata; Actinopteri; Cypriniformes; Danionidae. The record is from Ensembl.
GCCGGCAGCUAGCUCUCUGCAACUCUCACAUGGUCGCCCACCGAAGCUAAACAGAGCUGCGCCUGGUCAGUACCUAGAUGGGAGACCGCAUGGGAAACCUAGGUAGCUGCCGGAA